UUCUUGGAGAGUUUGAUCCUGGCUCAGGACGAACGCUGGCGGCGUGCCUAAUACAUGCAAGUCGAGCGAAUCGAUAGGAG
RNAcentral lists this ribosomal RNA (80 nucleotides) under Bacillus xiapuensis. RNAcentral describes it as "partial 16S ribosomal RNA". It matches the Rfam family "Bacterial small subunit ribosomal RNA", at positions 1 to 80 of the family's 1533-position model. RNAcentral also lists the same sequence under 1 other name. Lineage: Bacteria; Bacillati; Bacillota; Bacilli; Caryophanales; Bacillaceae. The record is from RNAcentral.